This 165-nucleotide ribosomal RNA is filed under the name uncultured bacterium. RNAcentral describes it as "partial 16S rRNA". It matches the Rfam family "Bacterial small subunit ribosomal RNA", at positions 355 to 511 of the family's 1533-position model. The record is from RNAcentral.
UAGGGAAUCUUCCACAAUGGGGGCAACCCUGACCGAGCAACGCCGCGUGAGUGAAGAAGGUCUUCGGAUCGUAAAGCUCUGUUGUAAGAGAAGAACGUGUGUGAGAGUGGAAAGUUCACACAGUGACGGUAACUUACCAGAAAGGGACGGCUAACUACGUGCCAG